Molecule: non-coding RNA, 3600 nt
Organism: Misgurnus anguillicaudatus (oriental weatherfish)
Lineage: Eukaryota; Metazoa; Chordata; Actinopteri; Cypriniformes; Cobitidae
Source: RefSeq, a predicted model, not a curated record
AACACAUCCUCACUCCCAACUCGUAACAUAUUGACGCUUGGUCAGGAGCCCUUUGCGUCAAUACUAUACGCACAGGGUACCCCUUUAGCGUUAUUUUUUGACGUCCUGGGUUUCCCAAUGACUUCUAUAGGAACGCCUGCGGCGUUGACAUUUGACGUGUUAAGCACGGGUAAAAUGAGAACAAAAAUAGGAAUAAAAUAAGCAUAAAAAUAAAGAAUUUGCUACAAUAAAUUAGUUAUGGCAGGGAUUGUCAUACUGUUUUUAAUGUGCUGCGAUUAUGUUUGGUUAUUCAAUGAUUAAUCAUUGCAAACGCAAUGCAAUGCAAUUAACAUUUUACACAUUUUUACAUUAUAUUUAUUUAAUUGUUUGUUUGUUUAUUUAUUUAUUGGUUGGUUGGUUGGUUGGUUGGUUGGUUUAUUGAUAGAUUUUUAUUUUAUUUUUUUUAUUAAUAAAUCCAACAAUUACUACCGCUGACGUCACUGUAAGGCGCGAUCCAUUGCGAUUUUACACUUGGUAAGUAGAACAGACAUCAAUAUAGACGGGAACAAUCCUUAAAUUUGCGUAGUAAUAAUCGUUCAAUCACGGUAAAAUUUUGUGUUUAGAACCUUUAGAAGUGUCUCACGGCAUUUCGUGAUUUGGUCACGAAAUUUAAUCUAUUUAUUCGUGGCAGGAACACGUUUAUUUCGUUAUUUUCGUAAUUCCAGCACGUUUUUUAAACUAAUGUAUUUCAAUUGGAUGGAUCUUUCGUGCAUAUAGCACGAUUUUUUCUGCCAGUCGGGCUGCAGUAGGGAAGCUAAACAUUUAUUCACAAGAUCUUAUCAAGACUGCAAUAUAUAAGAAUAAAUAGGAAUCGGCAACAAUUAACGAUCUAUGCCAGCGCAAGUCAAUAUUUAUCUGGUCAUUUUCAACUGGUUUUUAAUGUUAAAAGUCCCUCGCAGUCAACAGCUGUUUCCGGUGAGUUCUCAACUGCAGGAUCAAUAGCAUUCAGCAGUGAGUUUAACAACGCUCAAAUGUGGGUAAAAUAACAUUCAGAGAGGAGUUUUAUUAAAACAGCGUUCAACUGCAUGUAAGACAACCUUUUAGAGGUGAGUUUAACAACGCUCCACGGCGCGUGAGAUUAAGUAUUUUAAGCGUUUUCUGAUCAUGUAUUGCUUAUUAGACGUGAUGCAUGCUGGGUGUUAAAUAAUUUUUAUCAAAUGAUCGUUGAUGUUAAUAAAUAUAGAUCUAAAUAUACAUUUUACUUGUGUUCGAUUAAUUAAUAAGUUGUUUAAUUAUUAAUUUGUUUAUUUAAAGUCCUGUAAUAACUGUGACGUCAUCGAAUGAGACGAAGGUCCAUGGCUGUUUCAACUCGGAAGUUGAGAUGAAGUCAUGACAAGGCCCAUAUCUGGUAAGCAGGAAAACUUUCCAUGUCUGCUUUGCAAGCUUGUCCACCAAAAAAAGUCAGGUCACUGGAUAGCCAGUGGGGGAAAUCUGUCCUUAAAAGCAGAAAUGCUGGGCGUAUAAUUAAUUCUGCCUGUAUUGCAGUAAGUGAAAGUGUUCAUAUUUCAAAUGAAGUGCGCAUGUUUUUCACAUAAUAUAAGACUAGCACUAGGGAUGCACCGAUACCACUUUUUAGGAAUAUGAGUACGAGUAUUUGCAUUUUAGUACUUGCUGAUACCGAUACCGAGUACUUAAUAAUAAUAAUAAAAAAAAACAUAAUUUAAAUUUACAGGUAACAGCUUUAGUCAUAUACUUUAACAAAAAAACAAGGGACUAGUUUUACAGUUUGUUGUAAACUCUGCCUCUUUGGACAACACAAGAGGCAUUAACCCCUUACACGCUGCUCAAACAUAGACAUUUCUCAGACCGUGGUAUCGAUCCAUGGUAUGGGGGGACUUUUAACGAGUACUUUAGAAAAUGUGGUAUUGAAGCCGAUACCAGUAUUGGUAUCGGUGCAUCCCUAACCAAUAUGGUCUGGCUUUUACAAACAUAGGCUUAUUUCAUACAUGGAAGAAUCCAUAUUUAGCUAAAUUGUGUUGAAGAGUAUCAAUAAGUUGUGUUCGCUGUCAAGUAUUAAGAAAGUUAUAAUGUCAAUGGGAGAAUGAGUCUGGAAUUAACCAUUGAUUGUAUCCACCUUAUUUUUGAUGUAAAUGUUUGUGCCGCCAUCUUUAUGGUAUCGUAUUGCAAGGGACACGAGUGUGCUGUUUUGACUGUCUUUUUAAUGUUUAUUAUGAAAUUCAGGAAGACCGGUAUAAUUUUUACAGUUAGGGGUUGCCAUAAUAGCUGAUACAAACACAGUAAAUCUCUACAAAACAUAAUAUGUUGUGUAUGUAUGUGGCACACGUGCACUCAUGAUCUUUAUCCACACAUCCAUCCAGUAAAACCUUUCAUAGUGCUAGUGAACAAUAAACACAAUAAUUGUUCAAAAACAACUUCGAAAAUAAGGUUACAGUUCAAAAGUCAUAUGUUUUAUAAAAGAAUCUUUUAUGGUUACAGCUCAUUUACUUUUUCAUUUCAGGUGCGGAAACUUGAGGCUGUCGGAUACAAGUCAAUUGUAUUUACUGGGAAACGGGAUAAAAAGGACCUGCCGGAGAGCCUCGCCGUGGAGCUGCCAGAGAGCAUCGUCAUGGAACGGCCGGAGAAUCUCAACAAGGAGUCUGAGGCUGUAUUUGCAUUAAAUCUUGUUCCUCUGUCCUCUAGACUCUCUCCAACCUCUCUUGCUCCUAUUACUUUUACAACUAUUUUCCUCCACUUUCUUUCCCACCUCCUCUGACAUGCUCACUAUCACGUCUUUGCCUUUUCAAACUAUACCAUGGCUUCAAACUAUACCAUAAAGGGUUCCCCAAAUCUAACCCUGGAGGGCCGGAGCACUGCAGAGUUUAGCUCCAACCCUGAUCAAACACACCUGAUCAAGGUCUUCAUGAUCACUAGAAAAUCACAGGUGGGUAAAAUUUAUUAGGGCUGGACCUAAACUCUGUAGUGCUCCGGCCCUCCAGGGUAAGAUUUUGGGAACCCUGGAAUAAAGGGUAACUUUUUUCCUAUUACAUCUUACUCCACAAUUUGCUCCUAGUCAAAUCUAUCUUCAUGUAUAUUGAAUUCAUUUACCUAACCAGGUAAUUGUUAGCCAGUUCACAGUGUUUUAGAGGCCAUUGUCCAAGGGCUGUGGUCAAUAUAAAUUCCUGACUUAAGCUAAGAGGUCUUUGGGAAUACCAACCCAAUACAUUUUGGUUGAUUGACAAAAACAAGCACAAAUUCAUUUGACACUACUGGAAAGAACUGUAUAUCACUUGACAUAAAUAGGGACUCAUGUGAUUGUUACAAAGCAUGGCAUUCAUGUCUUAUUAAAAUGUACUUUUUCUCUUCAUCAUUUCAGGUUGUCGAUAAAAUAACUGGGGAAUUGAUAAAUAAGGGGAAAGCUGAAUUGGAAGUUCACUGGUGACCGUGCUCUGUGUGUGGCAAAACCUGGGAUGACACAUGGGAGCCUGCCAGCGAAUUCCAACACAAGUCCCACAUCCCAACCAGCUUUCAGCAUGACGGCCUACACCUUUUUAUUAUCAAGCACCUUUCAAUUGUUUUUGAUUGUCUUUGCUUGCUGUUCUUUAUUAAAGUUUUUGCAUAGUA